UACAGAGGUCUCAAGCGUUGUUCGGAUUCAUUGGGCGUAAAGGGUGCGUAGGUGGCGCCGUAAGUCAGGUGUGAAAUUUCGGAGCUUAACUCCGAAACUGCAUUUGAUACUGCGGUGCUUGAGGACUGGAGAGGAGACUGGAAUUUACGGUGUAGCGGUGAAAUGCGUAGAUAUCGGGAGGAACACCCGUAGCGAAGGCGGCACUCUGGGCCGGUACUGACGCUCAGGAGCGAAAGCGUGGGGAGCAAACAGG
Molecule: ribosomal RNA, 253 nt
Filed under: uncultured bacterium
Lineage: Bacteria
Description: partial 16S ribosomal RNA
Rfam family: Bacterial small subunit ribosomal RNA
Source: RNAcentral